RNAcentral lists this ribosomal RNA (492 nucleotides) under uncultured bacterium. Its description in RNAcentral is "partial 16S ribosomal RNA". It matches the Rfam family "Bacterial small subunit ribosomal RNA", at positions 29 to 507 of the family's 1533-position model. The record is from RNAcentral.
AGUGAACGCUGGCGGUAGGCCUAACACAUGCAAGUCGAACGGCAGCACAGUAAGAUUUUGCUCUUACGGGUGGCGAGUGGCGGACGGGUGAGGAAUACAUCGGAACCUACUUUUUCGUGGGGGAUAACGUAGGGAAACUUAUGCUACUACCGCAUACGACCUACGGGUGAAAGCAAGGGAUCUUCGCACCUUGCGCGAUUGAAUGAGCCGAUGCCGGAUUAGCUAGUUGGCGGGGUAAAGGCCCACCAAGGCGACGAUCCGUAGAUGGUCUGAGAGGAUGGUCGGCGACACGAGAGCUGAAACACGCUCCAGACUCCUGCGGGAGGCAGCAGUAUGGAAUGUUGGGCAAUGGGCGGAAGCCUUACACAGCGAUGCCAAGUGUGUGACGGAGGCGUUCGGUUUGUAAAGACCUCUUGUUGGGUGAAAACAUCUGUGAGUAGAUAAGCGGCUAUACUGACGGUACCUGAAGAAAAAGCACCGGCUAACUUCGUG